RNAcentral lists this ribosomal RNA (483 nucleotides) under Pseudochattonella verruculosa. Its description in RNAcentral is "partial large subunit ribosomal RNA". It matches the Rfam family "Eukaryotic large subunit ribosomal RNA", at positions 77 to 657 of the family's 3401-position model. Lineage: Eukaryota; Dictyochophyceae; Florenciellales. The record is from RNAcentral.
CCCCCAGUAACGGCGAGUGAAGCGGGAGAAGCCCAUGCUGCCAACCGCUCCGGCGGGUUGUGCCAGGCGUGCCUGGUGAGGUCCCGGGGAGAAGUCCUUUGGAACAAGGUAUCAGAGAGGGUGACAAUCCCGUCUGUGCCUCGGGGUCCUCGCGUGAAGGCCGUGCUAAUGGAGUCGAGUUGCUUGGGAUUGCAGCUCAAAGUCGGUGGUAAAUUCCAUCGAAGGCUAAAUACGGGUGGGAGACCGAUAGCGAACAAGUACUGUGAAGGAAAGAUGAAAAGAACUUUGAAAAGAGAGUUAAAGAGUGCCUGAAAUUGCUGAGAGGGAACCGAAGGUGAUCAGUGGGGGCCGCUGCCAUUUUUCGUGUUCCGACGUCGGAGCACGCCCUGUGGCAGGGGCCCGCUCCGCGCCGUCGCGUCCGGCCGUAAGCUUGGGGCCGGGGGUGGUGGGGCGGAGGAAAUGGUCCUCUUUACCCCGUCUUGA